AUGCACGGUGCACCCCGGGCCUCUCUGAGGAGGCCUGUGACGAUGGAGGCCCCAAUGCCCGUGCGAGAUCAGUCGCCGUUCGGCGUUGCAGUUCUGUUGAUUGAUUCCGAUGACUGAUCUGUGUCAAAGAAACGGCUAAAUCU
This is a non-coding RNA of Musa acuminata subsp. malaccensis (wild Malaysian banana), 143 nucleotides long. The record is from Rfam. Lineage: Eukaryota; Viridiplantae; Streptophyta; Magnoliopsida; Zingiberales; Musaceae.